Molecule: ribosomal RNA, 467 nt
Filed under: uncultured bacterium
Lineage: Bacteria
Description: partial 16S ribosomal RNA
Rfam family: Bacterial small subunit ribosomal RNA
Source: RNAcentral
ACGAACGCUGGCGGCGUGCUUAACACAUGCAAGUCGAACGGAAAGGCCCUGCUUUUGUGGGGUGCUCGAGUGGCGAACGGGUGAGUAACACGUGAGUAAUCUGCCCUUGACUUUGGGAUAACUUCAGGAAACUGGGGCUAAUACCGGAUAGGAGCUCCUGCUGCAUGGUGGGGGUGGGAAAGUUUCGGCGGUUGGGGAUGGACUCGCGGCUUAUCAGCUUGUUGGUGGGGUAGUGGCUUACCAAGGCUUUGACGGGUAGCCGGCCUGAGAGGGUGACCGGCCACAUUGGGACUGAGAUACGGCCCAGACUCCUACGGGAGGCAGCAGUGGGGAAUAUUGCACAAUGGGCGGAAGCCUGAUGCAGCAACGCCGCGUGCGGGAUGACGGCCUUCGGGUUGUAAACCGCUUUCGCCUGUGACGAAGCGUGAGUGACGGUAAUGGGUAAAGAAGCACCGGCUAACUACGUG